This is an RNA transcript of Vespa velutina, 3098 nucleotides long. RefSeq lists it as uncharacterized. The transcript has 7 exons. The record is from RefSeq and is a predicted model, not a curated record. NCBI's taxonomy places the organism in Eukaryota, Metazoa, Arthropoda, Insecta, Hymenoptera, Vespidae.
UAACUGUUCGUAAUCGUUCGUACGGUUUUCCUAUCACCGUGUCUCACGUGCACGAUCAGACGGCGCACGACCGUAAGCUUCGACGAGUUUCUUCGCAUCUAUUGAGGUCUAAAGUCCGUUCGAAAUACCCUAGGAAUGUCUACACUCCGAUAAGCAGAAAGGAGAAUACAUUCUUACGAGUCGUGAGCCGAUAAAACUGAGCGAGAAACGCAGGAGGAUGCAUAUUUCCUUGAAAUACCAGAUUCCUUAAAAGGAUCUUCCAAAGGAAUGAUAGCCAAAAGGCCAAGAAACGUCCUAAAGGCGUUUCUUCUUCCUAAGACGACGGAUAACCGAAGGGGAAUAUUUUUUCAAAGGGACAAACCACUCGCCUCUGAGGUACUAACGAAUUAUCUUCUUCAAACGAAGGAACCACCAUGGACCUCGUACUUUGUCAAAUACGCCGACGUUGUCAACGAUCAGAGGGGCAUGUCCCACUUCAAUUGGUCAGUAGCUAAUAGCAAUUAUCACGUAUUAAGGACAGGCUGUUUUCCUUACAUCAAGUAUCACUGUACAAGACGACCAAGGCAGGACCUUAGUACCGACGACAAAUUCUUCAAGGCGAUCAAGAUACUUAACCUUGGUAUCCCUACUCUGAUGUACGGAUUAGCUGCAACGUUUCUGAUACGACAUCGAGAAAUCGUAAAAACACGUCGAGGUGACAUUACGAUUUAUUUUUUACUACCUGAGGACAAAGGCUCUCUCUAUUGACCGACUUUAUCUGGUUAGAUACGUUUGCUUAUAAAAUUAUUAAAAUAAUUUCCUCUUUAAAUCGAUUCGCAUUGAUAAUGAUUUUAUCAUCUUUAUAAACUUAAUGAAAAUAAAAUUCUUUUUCCAUUAACACUCGAACGAGAAUGUUCGAAUAAUAAUCCAAACGAUUGAAAUUCGCUAAAGCAAUUACCGAUCACGAUUCGAUCGGCUGGUUAGCAAGGUCCAUGCGUUAGGGACAAGUUACAAGACGUUGAGGGUGUGCCAAUAAUGUAAAUCCUAUUAAUACUGCCCGAGGUGAGUGCGUACGAGGAACGAAGUGCAAACUUACAAAGUUAUCAUUAACAUAGCUUUCUAAUUAGCUACUCGUGUUCGCCAUCGAACGACGGUGUCUAUCGUUAUCGUAAUAAAAGAGAUUUCUCAUUUCCGAACGUUGACAUUUCCAUGUGAAAGAUUAACGAGCGAACGCCUUCGAUAGUGAUGCACAAUAAUCUGUAUUAAUUAUAUACGACGUUAAGUAACGGAUGAUUGGCUUGUUUUACUUAUAAUGUAUGGAGAUAAGCAAAGGAAUAGACACGCUUAUGAAAGCGUGUGGGUCGUAUGAAUACUCUGGAAAAUAAACACCCACGCUUUUCGUAUGAACUCGGUAAUGGCUAGUACACGUUGCAAGAUUGAACGCCAUUUAUCGAAAAAUCUAGAAUGUCUGUUUUCUAUUCUUCCUUUUUUCUUGUUGUUUUUUUCUUUUUUUCCUUGUUUUCUUUCUUUCUUUUUUUUUUUUUUUUUUUCUUUUUUUUGCAAAUACGUCAUACGACGACUUCCUCGUCAGGAAAGAACAGAGAAAUAUUAAUUAACGUAUGGCUUUCGCUCGUCUGACAUCGAGUCCCUCGACGGGACAGAGACUUUCUCCGGACUUGUCGUCUCUUUCGUAAUGUCUUCUCAUUUUUUGGGAUAAGUAUCCUCCGACCUUUCGGAGAUAGUCAUCGGGAAGUUACUUUUACUCGAGUCUUGCAUGUCGGCAUUGCGUCGUUCGAUGUAUAAAAAAAAAAAAAAAGGAAAAAAGAAAUCACAGAAAAGGAAAGAAAAAAGUAUAUAAAUCAUUCGAUAGAAUUGAAGAACAACUUUGGCUCGAUUUUACAUUGAAAUCUUUCUCUCUGUGGAUAAUCGUGAGAAGUACUAAUUAAUAUUCCAACAUCGUGCCGUUGAAUACAUAGCGGUACACCUAUUGAAAUUCAAAUUCAUUUCGAAGCUAAUUAAACUCAUCGUGAUCUUAUUUGCGAGCAACUUUUUCCGGCGUUUAUUCGACAAAGAAAAAUAUCCUCUUGAGAUAACCAUGCUAAUCUCGAUCAUUGCCAUAAAAAAUGUCUAAGAGGGAAGCAUUUCGUUGGAACAUCGCGUGCACCAAACGUCGAUACUCGUGCACCUAACGUCUACGUGUCGAUAGAGAGAAAGAGAGGGAGAGAGAGAGAGAGAAAGGGUGCGAUAAAACGAGAAAAAGAGAUGGAGAGAAAGGACGAGCUGAGCAACGAAGCGCGUCACGCGCAAUUAAUUUCACACGAGCUCCACGAACGCUCCAUUUGCAUGUCCGAUUAGCCAUAGCGUUGAAUUAGAGAUUCUAUCUGACCGUGAUCAGGGCCUAUUACAACAUUAAAUACUUUGAUAGAUUUCGGAUUGUCGGAUUUUGCGUUUGAUCGUUCCUAGAAAAAAAAAAAAAAAAAAAAAAAAGAAAGAAAAGAAAAAAAAAAGAAAAAAGAAGAAAAAAAAAUUUAAGAAAAUGUAUAAAUCAGGAAACAUCAAAAUGUCCGACGUAAUAAUCCCUCGAAGAGAACGUUCUCGCUUUGUCGCGUCGUAUUUUAUCUCUCGUAGGAAUAGCCCGAAAACAUUCUGCUGACGAGGGAGCCAAGCAAAGCAAGCUGAUUUCCAGUUACCGUCUCUUAUCUUCCUGGCAUCGAAAGCGAGAAUAAUUAUUGUACCGUCGGACGCAAAAAUCAAUGGCCAAAGACUUGGAUGCACUCGAAUAAUUGCACUUUCCCCGAGAACCGCGCUUAUGAGACGGCAUUAUAUUCGAAUAAAAAUGGCCACCGGAAGUAGACGUCACCAGUGCCAACUGCCAGCCAACUAGGCUUGAUCGAGCUGCACUUUUAGCAAGAGGAAAAAAAGCAUUUUUCACUGUCUCCGACGUUCACCCUUUACACUUUUUCACAUUGGGUUGCAACACGUUCAAAAGUCAUCUAGCGUCAUACUACGUCGAUUAUGUACACAAAGAAUUGACUUGUUAUCUUCCUUUGUUGCAGUGUCAUUCAUUAUUUAAACCAUAGUAUAAUGCAGGCAAAACUACAUUGUUACACAUGCUGAAA